GUGCCAGCCGCCGCGGUAAAACGUAGGGGGCGAGCGUUGUCCGGAAUUACUGGGCGUAAAGGGUGCGUAGGCGGCUAUUUAAGUCAGAUGUGAAAGGCUACGGCUCAACCGUAGUAAGCAUUUGAAACUGAAUAGCUUGAGUCAAGGAGAGGGAAGUGGAAUUCCUGGUGUAGCGGUGAAAUGCGUAGAUAUCAGGAGGAAUACCAGUAGCGAAGGCGACUUCCUGGCCUUAGACUGACGCUGAGGCACGAAAGCGUGGGGAGCAAACAGGAUUAGAUACCCUGGUAGUCCACGCCGUAAACGAUGAGUGCUAGGUGUUGGGGAGGUUACUCUUCAGUGCCGCAGCUAACGCAAUAAGCACUCCGCCUGGGGAGUACGUACGCAAGUAUGAAACUCAAAUGAAUUGACGG
This 410-nucleotide ribosomal RNA is filed under the name uncultured bacterium. Its description in RNAcentral is "bacterial SSU rRNA". It matches the Rfam family "Bacterial small subunit ribosomal RNA", at positions 505 to 916 of the family's 1533-position model. The record is from RNAcentral.